This 492-nucleotide long non-coding RNA is filed under the name Homo sapiens (human). Its description in RNAcentral is "non-protein coding lnc-ZSCAN10-3:19". Lineage: Eukaryota; Metazoa; Chordata; Mammalia; Primates; Hominidae. The record is from RNAcentral.
GCUCCGGCAUGACGGGUGACUUCUUCCGAGUCUGGCUUCUGCAGCACACAGGGCUUCGCCAGCACCCAGCUCCUGCAGCAUGGGCAGCUCCUGUGACAGCAGGCGCCCGCAGCCUGCAAAGCGUCUCCAGUGCCGCCGCCUCAGUGAACCUCAACCAGCGGCACCUAGCAGCUUUCUCUGCCACCCUCUUCAGGUAGUUCUGUAGCAGCGCGUUUCUCAUGAGACACUUCCCUGUGAGCAGCUUUUUCUACCCUUGAGGAUGGAUUUCCAGCAAAUUCUGCCCAUGUGGUACCACAGCCACUUCUCUGCCAUUCAGUGAAACUGCCGUUGUGCCCUCUUCAAGGUCUGGAUCUAAGCCCAGGGACCAGGAAACCUCUUGCUUGAGUGCUGGAACUCAGGCCAGAAGGCAGGAAGCCCGCCUGACCCCAUGUCUCAGGCUGCCAGAGGAGCGUGCGAUGAGGAAGGCUGGACUGUCUUCACAGGACACCAGGG